CAGCAUGUGAUACCAAUGAGGAUUUGCAGUAUGUCAAAUAAAUAACAAGAUGUUCCAAAAUGAUCUCAGUUGAUUGCCAAAGAAUACACAAGGGAUUUCAUUUAACAACAAAAUCAGUUGGUAGCAAUGUCCUUAUCACAUGUAGAUGAUAAAACCAAUCAAACAAAACACAAAUUACAGGAACCACAAUAUUUUAAAAUUCUCAGGUAUAACUGACAGCUAGUUUACCUAUCAAUUAG
Molecule: unclassified non-coding RNA, 239 nt
Filed under: Hevea brasiliensis (rubber tree)
Lineage: Eukaryota; Viridiplantae; Streptophyta; Magnoliopsida; Malpighiales; Euphorbiaceae
Source: RNAcentral